Molecule: ribosomal RNA, 406 nt
Filed under: uncultured bacterium
Lineage: Bacteria
Description: partial 16S ribosomal RNA
Rfam family: Bacterial small subunit ribosomal RNA
Source: RNAcentral
AUUGAACGCUGGCGGCAGGCCUAACACAUGCAAGUCGAACGAGUGGCGGACGGGUGAGUAAUGUCUGGGAAACUGCCUGAUGGAGGGGGAUAACUACUGGAAACGGUAGCUAAUACCGCAUACCAUCGGAUGAGCCCAUAGGGGAUUAGCUCGCAGGUGGGGUAACGGCUUACCGAGGCGACGAUCCCUAGCUGGGCCGAGAGGAUGACCAGCCACACUGGAACUGAGACACGGUCCAGACUCCUACGGGAGGCAGCAGUGGGGAAUAUUGCACAAUGGGCGCAAGCCUGAUGAAGCCAUGCCGCGUGUAUGAAGAAGGCCUUCGGGUUGUAAAGUACUUUCAGCGGGGAGGCGUUACCCGCAGAAGAAGCACCGGCUAACUCCGUGCCAGCAGCCGCGGUAAUAC